AGGUCAGUAGCUCAAUUGGUAGAGCAACGGUCUCCAAAACCGUAGGUCGUGGGUUCGAUUCCUACCUGGCCUG
RNAcentral lists this transfer RNA (73 nucleotides) under Spirochaetaceae bacterium. RNAcentral describes it as "tRNA-Trp". It matches the Rfam family "tRNA". Rfam says of the family: Transfer RNA (tRNA) molecules are approximately 80 nucleotides in length. Their secondary structure includes four short double-helical elements and three loops (D, anti-codon, and T loops). Further hydrogen bonds mediate the characteristic L-shaped molecular structure. tRNAs have two regions of fundamental functional importance: the anti-codon, which is responsible for specific mRNA codon recognition, and the 3' end, to which the tRNAs corresponding amino acid is attached (by aminoacyl-tRNA synthetases). tRNAs cope with the degeneracy of the genetic code in two manners: having more than one tRNA (with a specific anti-codon) for a particular amino acid; and 'wobble' base-pairing, i.e. permitting non-standard base-pairing at the 3rd anti-codon position. The record is from RNAcentral. Lineage: Bacteria; Pseudomonadati; Spirochaetota; Spirochaetia; Spirochaetales; Spirochaetaceae.